UUAAAUGAAUUGACGGGGCCCGCACAAGCGGUGGAGCAUGUGGUUAAUUCGAUGCAACGCGAAGAACCCUACCUAGGCUUGACAUCCCUGGAAUUUUGUGGAAACACAAAAGUGCCUUUCGGGGAACCAGGAGACAGGUGGUGCAUGGUUGUCGUCAGCUCGUGUCGUGAGAUGUUGGGUUAAGUCCCGCAACGAGCGCAACCCCUACGUUUAGUUGCUAACGCGUGAAGGCGAGCACUCUAGACGAACUGCCGUUGACAAAACGGAGGAAGGUGGGAUGACGUCAAAUCAUCAUGCCCCUUAUGUUCUGGGCUACACACGUGCUACAAUGGCCGGUACAGACGGACGCAAAGCCGCGAGGUGGAGCAAAUCCUAAAAAGCCGGUCUCAGUUCGGAUUGCAGGCUGCAAUUCGCCUGCAUGAAGUCGGAAUCGCUAGUAAUCGCAGGUCAGCAUACUGCGGUGGAUACGUUCCCGGGCCUU
RNAcentral lists this ribosomal RNA (481 nucleotides) under uncultured Desulfosporosinus sp. RNAcentral describes it as "bacterial SSU rRNA". It matches the Rfam family "Bacterial small subunit ribosomal RNA", at positions 901 to 1382 of the family's 1533-position model. Lineage: Bacteria; Bacillati; Bacillota; Clostridia; Eubacteriales; Desulfitobacteriaceae. The record is from RNAcentral.